RNAcentral lists this ribosomal RNA (500 nucleotides) under uncultured bacterium. Its description in RNAcentral is "partial 16S ribosomal RNA". It matches the Rfam family "Bacterial small subunit ribosomal RNA", at positions 28 to 507 of the family's 1533-position model. The record is from RNAcentral.
GACGAACGCUGGCGGCGUGCUUAACACAUGCAAGUCGAACGGGUCUGCCCUGUUUUUUGCGGGGUGGGUCAGUGGCGAACGGGUGAGUAACACGUGAGUAACCUGCCCCUCACUUCUGGAUAACCGCUUGAAAGGGUGGCUAAUACGGGGUGUUCUGGCUGUGCCGCAUGGUGUGGCUGGGAAAGAUUCACUUUUGUGGUGUUUUGGUGGGGGAUGGGCUCGCGGCCUAUCAGCUUGUUGGUGGGGUGAUGGCCUGCCAAGGCUUUGACGGGUAGCCGGCCUGGGAGGGUGGGCGGUUAAAAUGGGGAUGAGAUACGGGCCAGACUUCUGGGGGAGGCAGGAGGGGGGGGUAAUGGACAAUGGGCGGAAGGCUGAAGCAGGGAAGUCGCGUGAGGGAUGGAGGCCUUCGGGUUGUGAACCUCUUUCGCCGGUGAAGAAGGUCCCGCUCUUUGUGGUGGGGUUGACGGUAGCCGGGUUAUGAAGCGCCGGCUAACUACGUG